Strigops habroptila (Kakapo) is the source of this 10269-nucleotide RNA transcript. It is a transcript of the gene named praja ring finger ubiquitin ligase 2, with no coding region annotated. The transcript has 10 exons. Lineage: Eukaryota; Metazoa; Chordata; Aves; Psittaciformes; Psittacidae. The record is from RefSeq and is a predicted model, not a curated record.
UGUCCCAGCCAGGCUCGGCGGCUGUGGGACUAACCCCGGCUCCAGCGUGGGGCACUGCGUGCGGCCUGCGGAUGGGGGGAGAAAGAGGGAGGGCAGCAGUGGAGCCAGGCAGGGCGGCGCCGCGGCCGUGUUCGGCUCCAGGGGCGGUCGCUUGGCGGCCUCCCCUCAGGGACAGGCUUGCGGGGCGGCCCCGGUGGUGCUAUGGAGGGAGAGGCUGAGAAGGCACCGCUGUGCAGCGCUGUGGGCCGCGGUGUCCCGGAGUACGGGUGUGCGAGAGGGGCCGGGGCCGCCUGUGGGCACGGGCAGGCCGUCGGGUCACUAUGUUGUAUUUGGUUUGCGUGGUUUUUGCCCCAUAACAGUGUGACGGUGACUCGGUGUCCCGGGGCGAUAGGAGGAGGCUGCGGCGUCGUGCUGCGGCCCGUCGGCGGUGCUGGGCGUGGGCCCGCGAUCUGCGCAGCAAGCCUCGAGAGCAGCCCCGCCAGCGAGGCGGGCUCUCGGGCGAGCAGCAGAGGCCAGAAUCCCAUUGUACUGAGGACAAUAGACUUGUGGGCCCUGGCUCGUAGUAUACAAUCAAUGGGUCAAGAAGCUGGCAAAACUACCUGGCCCAAAUCAUCAAGAAGAUAUCGGACUAUUACAGGUAGAAGAUAUGGAAGAAGGUAUGCCUAUGUUGGUUUUACACCAUCUUCGAAUAGCCAGGUCAGAGACGAACAUCAACAUAAUGAAGACUGCAAACAAUUAGAAUUGGAGGAUAUUCAGAAAGAGAAUUCUUUACGUCCCAGUCCACCGGUUCAAGUUUCUUCUGGUUUAUUAGAUGAGCCUUUGUUAGAAAAUACUGGAACUGGAGAACCUCUUUGCGAAAGCGUAUCAAGCCAAACUUUGGAAGCGAACACAUCGCCAUUUUCUCUAUUCUCCUAUGGUCUGGAAGGCAACCAAAUCUCAGGGAACUUUAUGAAUCCUUACGAAAAUUCUGAGGACCUUGUAGAGUAUGCGACUGAUGGGUGUAAUGUUUGGAAUGGUCAAAAUGGAAUUGCUUUUGUAAACGUGGACUCUUAUGAGCCAGAUGGUGGUGAUAGAGAAGAUCCUGCUCAAGACGAAUUUUCUUUGGGAACAGAAGAAGCAGUUGUGUUUCGCGAAACAAUAAAUAAAAUAUUUUCCGAGUUUGAAAAAGGCAUAGAGUCUUUUACUGAAUUACAAUCUCAAUCGUCCAAUCUCAAUCACAGUGUUACUAGAGAAUGUUGUGAAGAAACAGGACCAAUGCCUUUAAUGAGAUAUUUUAGCAUAGAUUCAGACUUGGCAUGUCCAAACAACAGGACAUUUAAAACAUCUGCUGAAGAUCAAGCUAUACUGAAAAGUAACCCAAGUGAUGCUGUUCAUGAGCUACAGCAGAUAAAAAAUAUUUCAACAGAGAGUGUUGAAAUCCAAGCCCCUAUAGCAAUUGCUAAUGAGUUAAAUGUUAGUGAGGACCAGGGAAAUUCACUUGAACUAGUAGUGAGACCUAAAAUAAGAAAACAAAAUACUUCAAACCAGUUGGAGAGAGAGAGGCUUCUUCUUAAUGAUAAGGAAGGGGAAAAUAGUUCCUGGAGAAGUGAAAUUGAUGAAGUUCAGCAAGGGUGUGCUGAAUGUGCCUUAAACAGCAAAGAGAUGAGUUCUAGUAUGUUCUUUGGCUCCAGAGGGCAUGAAGGUCAUCGAAAGAACACAGAACUAAGGAAAAAUGCAGCAGCUCAAGAACGAAAAGGUAUUCUGGAAGAUAACACCUUUUGGGAUGGUUUCGAAGACUGCAGCAGACACUUCUCAAUGUACCACAAAGAUGAAGACAGGACCAUUGUAUAUGGCUUAAGGGCUAUGAGAGCUUUUAAGUUUUGUCUGGCUGAGAGCUCAGAAUGCAGUGAUGGAGAAUGGUCUGCAGGUGCACCUACCUAUUUUACUGCUACAGAAAAAGACCACUCAAGUGAUGAGAGCUGGGAAACUAUUCCACGCAGGGAGAAAUGUGAGCCUGAAGUGCAGAACAGCAGCAGCAAUGGUGUGGAAGAGGAGAACAAAGACUACUGUUCACAAGGAGGGUGUGGUUUUAUUAGCUAACUUCCUGUAAUUCUGACAUGUAACAUGGUAUCCACAUGACACCAUGCAGAGUAACAAACUGUAAAAGUAGUUACUGUACUAGCAAUAAUAAUUUGCCUACAUUUAAAAUUAUCUGAAUGCUUAUAUGUAUUUCAAAUCUGGAAAAAAUGGCAUGUCAUGUAAACAUUUCUAUUUAAUGAAAGAUUCAGAAAUAAUGAGAGGGCAUUGACAUGUAGAUUUAACAGGGAUAAUAGACUUGAUGUACUGACUUUAAAAAACUAUAUUAUGCCAGUUAAUUGUAAAGACAUACAUGUUGCAUACACAUCUUUUGAUACUUCUUGGUACUCCUCAAAAAGCAAUUGUUUAUCUUUGCUUUAUUGAUGCCCUUUAUUCCUGCAGCCCUGUCAGUGGUUAAAGUAAACUUGAACUACUUAUUUACUGAGAACUUACUAGAAUCGUCGAAUCACAAAAUGGUUUGGGUUGGAAGGGACCCUAAAUAUAAUCUGGUUCUAAACCAUCUGCCAUGGCCAGGACACCAUCCACCGGACUAGACUGCUCAAAACCCCAUCUAACCCAGCCUUGAACACUUCCAGGGAUGGGGCAUCCACCACCUCCCUGGGCAACCUGUGCCAGUGUCUCACCACUCUCACAGUGAAGAACUUUUUUCCUAAUAUCUAAACUUCCACUCUGUCAGCUUAAAGCCAUUCCCCCAGUCCUGUCAUUAUAGGCCUUCCUGAAGAGUCUCUCCCCAUCUUUCUUAUGGGCCCUUUUUAAGUACUGAAAGGCCACAAUGAGGUCUCCCUGGAGACUUGUCUUCUCCAGGCUGAACAACCCCAGCUAUCUCAGCCUUUCCUCAUCAGAGAGGUACUCCAUUCCUCUGAUCUUUUUUGUGGCCCUCCUCUGGACCCUCUCCAACAGGUCUAUGUCCUUAUGUUGGGAUCCCCUGAGAUGAAUGCCGUGCUCCAUGUGGAGUCUCCCCAGAGUGGAGUAGAGGGGUAGAAUCCCCUCCCUCGAUCUGCUGGCCAUGCUGCUGAGGACGCAGCCCAGGACACAGUUGGUUUUCCGGGCUGUGAAAGCAUACUACCGGCUCAUGUUGAGCUUCUCUUAAACCAAGACCUUCAAGUCCUUCUUCUUAGGGUUGCUCUGAAUCACUUCUUUGCCCAGCCUGUGUUUGUGCUUGGGAUUGCGCUCAACCAGGUGCAGGGCAUUGCACUUGACCUUGUUGAACUUCACGAGGCUGGCAUUGGCCCACCUCUCAGGCAUGUCAAGGUCUCUCUGGAUGGCAUCCCUUCCCUCCAGUGUAUCGACUGCACCACAUAGUUUGGUGUCAUUGGCGAACUUGCUUAGGGUGCAUCAGUCCCACUGCCCCUAUUGCCAACAAAGAUGUUGAAAACCAUGAGUCCCAAUACCAACCCCAGAGGGAUACCACUUGUUGCUGAUCUCCACUUGGACAUUAAGCCAUUGACCACAACUCUUUGAGUGUGACCAUCCAGCUAAUUUCUUAUCCGCUGAGUGGUCCCUCUGUCAAAUCCAUGCUUCCUUCAAUUUAUAGAUGAAGAUGUUGUGUGGGGCAGUGUCAAAUGCCUUGCACAAGUCCAGGUAGAUGACGUCAAUCACUCUUCAUUUACCUGCCAAUGCCAUGACUUAAUCUUCAAAGGCCACCAAAUCUGUCAGGUAUGAUUUGCCCUUAGUCACUGACCAGUGACAGGAUGAGGAGCAAUGGCCAUAAACUGAAACACAAGAAGUUUCACCUCAACAUCCGUAAGAACUUCUUUACAUUGGGAGUGGCAGAGCACUGGAACAGGCUGCCCAGGGGGUUGUGGUGACAUUCAAAACCCGCCCGAACACAUUCCUGUGUAACCUGCUCUGGGUGGUCCUGCCUUGGCAGGGAGUUGGACCAGAUGAUCUCCAGAGGUCCCAAUCCCAACCAUUCUGUGAUUUUAUCAGAUCUGCACCUUAUUGACUUCUGCACUUUCAGAUUCCUUAGAUGAUCUUAAACCUCAUCUAUUCUACCAUGAGCAGUUCUUCAUUCUCCCAGUCCCUGCCUGUGCAUUCUGUGGCUUGGGUGGUUUUGGUUUAGAUGCUUUGUGGAAAGAAAAAAAAAAUUGAUCAUUUAUUUUUAGUUUGGGUUUUUAUAAAGCAACAAGCCAUGCCUACGUAUUCUUUCUGUUUCUUCCACUCGUAUGUAGACAAUACCUAUUACAAGUAGUCCAAAUGGCUGAUACUGCUUUUUUUAACAUUGCUUUCUGUUAAGUUUUGGAGAAUUAGUGUGACUUUAUGAAAACAUUAUCAAAACUCAUCUGUUUCAGAAAGGUUCAUGUUUUUGAUGUGAACAGCCUGCAAAUGUACCCAUUUCUAACAUGAUUCCUGUUUAUUUGUCUUUUCAUAAGGAAAGUAGACUUGCAGCUCUGUGGCUUUAAACAUUCAGGUGAUUUGUGCUCUUCUAGAAAACACAGGAACGAGAGGAAUCUUACUCCUUAUGCAAAUAGAUUUUCUUGCGAAUAAUAUCUUUUUUCAUUUGAGCCAAGCUUCCCCAUGAAGGCUGUUCCAGGAUGUUAAGAUAGCUUUUCUUUUUAGCAGCUUUACAGACUUCUGGAUGAAUAAGAAAAGUUUAGUACCAAACUUACUAGCCCUGGCAGGGAUACUGCCUGUACUAGGGAAAAUGCAAAACAAGAUGCUUACUGUACUACUGGCCUUGAGGAUUAGACUAAUUUUGCCAUAGAAUCAUGGUGUUACUAGAUUCUGAAUCUGGAGUUGAUACCACUGGGAAUUUCUUUGGGUUUUUUACAGCAAGUGAUAAAUUCUUGAUAUGGGCUCUGCAGUCUGGGAAACAUGCAUCUUCAACCCUUGCAAUAUGUGUAACUUUUGUUACUUGCAUGUGUUUGUAAAUUCUGCUAGCUCUUUAGUUUUAGCUUUUCAUUUAUUUAUUUGAAGGGAACAGACAUUAUUGGAGGAAGGAGAGAUUCCUCGGUUGCAAUACCAAGAAGAAGCAGAAAAUAUCAGUGAUGAGGAAAACAACCUAAUUCAUGAUUUUGUGUAUCCUGGAUUCUUCUUGUUGGAUGGAAAUAACAAUCUUGAGGAUGAUUCCAGUGUGAGUGAAGAUCUGGAUGUGGAGUGGAGGCUACUUAAUGAGUUUGGUGAUGGCCUAGGACUUGCUCAAGCUGUUCCCGAUGUGGAUCCUCUCACACUUGAGGCACUAGAGGGACGCUUACAAGAAGCUAUGGAGACUGCUCUGGCACAUUUGGAGCUUCUUGGAUUUGAUGUUGAACAGGCUCAUCCACCAGCUACUAAAGAAACCAUAGAUUCUCUGCCACAGAUUAUCAUCACAAAUGACCAAGAUGGUCAAGAGCAGCGUUGUACAAUCUGUUGCAGCGAAUAUGUGGAAAAUGAAAUCAUAACGGAGCUACCCUGUCAUCAUUUGUUUCACAGAACUUGUGUAACUCUUUGGUUACAGGAAUCGGGAACAUGCCCAGUUUGUCGUCAUGUGCUUGCCCCUGUGCCUUCUGAAACAGCUGCUGCCACAGUUUCCUUCCUACCUGAUCCUGACUCGGCAUCUUCUGUUCACAGUGUUACAGGAACUUCAAACUAGGGUCUGAAAUUCAAUCUCUGCUACCAAAAAUAAAAAUGUAAAUCUUGCCUGUUUAAUUACAAUGUGAAUAAAUUGUGUAUAAAAUAUUAUAUGUAAAAUACUAUCUAUAUUCUAUAUUUUAGUUUAGGAAAGGGGUGUAAGACUUCUGAACUCUUUAGGCUUGCAAUAAUAGCUUAAUUUUUCAAACUGCAAGUUAGAAGAAUGUGUGGCAGCCUUGUUUGAGCAGAAUGUUGCUGGUAACUAUAAUGUCUAAAGCUUGUAUUAUGAUAACUUUCUCCUGAAUGUGUCACUUUGUUCAAGUUCUUGCAGCUGCAGUGCAGUUGCAUCUUAUUAAAUGUAUGCUUAUAAUCUGUUUUUCAUAAUAAGGUGUAAUUGAAAUCUCACAUUUGUAUCAAAUGCGAAGAUGUUUUGUGAUGCCGGCAGUGGCAGAAUUUUAUUUCGCUGCAUAGAGGGCAACUCUCCCACCUCUCCUUUCUUGCUGUCCCUUCUGAAUAGCUUGUAGCCAUCAAUCACAGGAUUCCAGUCGUGGGAUUCAUUGAAUCAUAGAAUCACAGACUGAUUUGGGUUGGAAAGGACCUUAACAUCACCCACUUCUAACUCCCCAGCCAUGGGCAGAGACACCUCCCUCUAGACCAUGUUUCUGUUAAUAAAUGUGAUAUUGAUUUAAUAAGAUUCGAUGGCAAGGUGUACUUGAAUAUUUAGUGCAUAGAGGGCAGGUCAGACAAAACUGUCAGGGAGAUCCUCUGUUGAGUCACGAAGUUCUUUAAGAAGUCCCUUGCUUUCUAAACUCCUUCUCAGAGAGGAGUCUAGGUGUGGCUGGAUCCAAAUGUAGUCUCAGACUUGAUCAAAGUUUUAUGUCUAAAGGAUUAAAUAUGUGCAAUCAAUCCUUUAUAUCACUUAGCUAAGAUGUGAAAGUUUAGCAUGCUAUUAAUCACUUACUGAGAAUACGUGGCUAUAAGCUGCAAGUGCAAGGAAUCUCCCAGCCUCAAAGAGUAACCUUGAGAGGCAUCCUUACUCAAGGGAGAGCCUGGUAGGCAGCCCCCUGCCAUGUAGGAUUGCUCAAUGGGCCCUGGGCUGUCUAAUAGUUAUGGAGUGAAAUAAUUGACUCAUAGCCAUGCUUGUGUACUAAGUACAAAAACUUGGCUUCAGUUGGACUUUGACCAGGACUAUGGCUGGGCUGGGGGGUGGAGCGGUGGUGCACAUUGCUCAGAUUAGCCCUUGGCUAUUGUGUUGUUAUCUGUCUCCCCUGAAUCCACUUUGAAUCUGAUGCAGCCAUCACAACAAAGAUGCAUCAGUUACCACCACUGGUGGUUAUCACUUGAACAAUAUUAUGGGAAAUAAAGGUCAAGUUGUGGGUAAGAGCACACCAUUACAGUGCCUUCUGUGUUUGCUUUAAACAUUUAAUCCAUUUCUCUGUUGGCUCUGCUAAGACAUGGAACAGCCUGUUGUGUCUGAAGUAUCUUAAUUUCUCAGCUUUUUUUCUUCGUGUGCUUCACCAGUUGUCUUUUGGUCCUGGUUUGGAGGGCAAGUGUUCACUUGAAACUCUUGCUGGAGGCUGUUUUUCAUUUUUUCAUCUGCCUGACUUCACUAGGUGUGACUUUCAGAACUCUUCACCACUGAUUCCACUUGCUGCCUGGCACUUAGUGCACUAUUAGCUCUGGUGCUUAUUUGACAGAGCCUCAUCACAUGGUGCUGCUUUGCCCCUAGCACUUCCCUUGAAUUUACAUAAUCUACACCUAAAGCAAAUUUGCCACUUGCUUUGUGCAUGAUGUCAUUUCUUCCCCCUACCCCCCCAAAAUAAAAUUCUACUGCAUUAGUGUUGUGUCUUAGCUUUCCAGGCUUGAAUUCACUGAUCAUCAUAUUGACUUUUUACACUGUGGGAAAUGGCGUGCUCAAUAUCUGGUUAGACUUAACCAUUAACAAAACAACAAAAAAGAAGGUAAAAAACAAAGAACCGUAACAAAACACACAGACCCUACACCCCAAAGAAAAACCUUCUAGUAGCUACAGUGUGGAAAAAGCUAACAAUCUCUUUUCCGUUUUGAACAAAUAGUCCAUUUCUGCUCUGAGCACACUGAAAAUAUUUUCUUUGUGUUGCUUUUAACCUGUUCACUUGAAUUUCAUUGAGAUGGUGAGGUAGAGACAGCCUUUAGGAUGAAUUGUUAAAUCUGUAACUAUUUCCAAGAUACUACCUUUUUGGUGCAUUUUUAAAGAUACAAGAUCUCUCUUACUAUUCAGUUUUAUGACUAAUUGCAAAGUUUUACUGUGCAGAAAGUUUGGUGUUGCAACAACAGAAUUCUUCUGAACAUGAAGAUACAGUAUGUUGUAGUAUUUUGUGAGGUUUUUUUCCUACAGAGAUGAUUUACCAGUUUUGAAUUAAAAUAAUAAUGAAAUACUGCUUCAUGGGAAUAGGGUACUGGUUAUAACUUGUUGACAUGAUGAUAUGAUUUGAUAUUUGUGCUCUGUUUUACAAAACACGAUUUUGCUAAUUUCUUUUUUUGGGUUGUGUGGUUGGUUUUUUGUGUUUUUUGGUUCCUCCUUUUUUUCUUUCUCUAUUUUUUUUUUUUUUUUUUUUAGGUGGCACUAGCAAAAGGCCUACUGAGUGAUCUUUGUAACUCCAGUUUUUCUAUGGUUUAUUUUCUUUCCAUUUUUUUUUUUUUUUCACCCCCUGUUUUCCAGACCUUCUCUGGUUAGGAAUUACUUCUUUAAAUUUAAACCCUGAAAACUAUUUUCAAACCUUAGUGAUACUGCUUGUUUUUCUGCAUAAAUACUUUUGAUGUAUGCUCACAAAAUUCAAUUUGUUCUUACUUGAACAGAAUAUGAACACAAACUGGGACUUCCUGGGACUGACAAGAUUUGUUCAAUACAUGGCUUCCUUGAGUCAUUGUAAGUUCACAGGCAUUUUUGUCAUGGUAGCAAAUGGGUCAAAGAAGGAAGAAGAUAAUACUCUGAGGAAUAGGCAGAUGUGUGAGAUGAGAAGCAGCACUGAGAAUUUGAGGAUGCUGCCCAUUGGAGGUGGGGAAGGGGUGUCUUUUAAAGGUCUCCUCCUAUGCUAUUCUGCAAAUCUCUUCCAACAGAUUACAGUCUCACCCCAAGACCAGCAGGUGCCCUUUCCUUCCCCCGUACAAUGGCGCCCCAUGAGUACAGCCUCUUCUGUUCAUUUCCCUUGGCAGUGACUCUGCUUUCAUUCUUUUGGCCAGCCAGCUGCUAGAUAUAGGAAAAAGACAGACAGAGGCUCUGGGCUCUAAUUACAAACCUGGGAUGCUGGCGGACGCAAGUGGCAUUCUUAUGAAUGGAAUUAUAAUUUGUAGGCUUUUAGUCAUUAAAGAUCAAGAAGAUUUGUUUAUACUGUAACCUCUGAAUAAGACACAACUAUUGCCACUGAAUGAAGUAUACUACUAUUGUUUGUAGGCUUGUUCUUGCUCAGAAAGCCAAAACAACAACUAAACCAAAGAAACCACAUUAAAGCAGCAACAUCAGGAUGACACUUAUUUUUCAUAAAACAAAUGUAUGCAGCUGUGGGAAUCCUGUUGCAUAUUCUCCCUUUAAUAGGGCAGUUCCUCCAUGGUGGCAGAGUAACUGUGUGAGCACAUCUGAACUGAUGCUGUGAAUUUAGCCAUUGUUGUUACAGGUAUCCUAUUCUGAAAAACAUUAAAGAAAAACAACGCCACUCAGUAGUUUUAGUUUAUCGGCAGAGUUUUGGAAUCCAUGUUUUUACCUGGUGUUUUCUGUUGUUCAGUGCGUUAGGAUAUUCACCAUGGAAAACAGAUAAGAAAAUAUGUUGGUCGUGUAUAUUACUUUAGUCAGUGUGCUACACACAGACGACUAAAAUGCAUAAUUACUUAAGCAAGAGAAGGAAUGUUACUAAUAUGGAGGAUAAGCCUUUAUUCUUUAUAGGCUAAUAAGCAAAAUCUUUAUUUACAGAUCUUUGUUGUCCUGAAGUUCCACAUAAUUGUGACUUUUUUUCAGUGUUAAGCCUCUCUGCAGAUAGACAAUUACCUUGCUCUAAGCCAUAUAUCAUAAAUAAUUAUAGACAAAAAAACUAAUGAUGGUUAUUAAUGAGUAAGUAUGAGAAUUUAAUUAUGUCUUGUGGCUAAAAUAUAAAAGGCAUGAUUUUCAUUUAUGGAAUGUGUCCCUGCCCAUGGCAGGGGGGCUGGAACUUUUAAGUCCUCUCCAACCUAAACCGUUCUAUGACUCAUUUAUACUAAAGUCGCUCUGCCCUCCUGAUGCUUAGGAAAAUGCUUUCAAGAAGAAGUGAAGGAGAAUUAGGUAACAACAAGGAAGGAUACUGUAAACUGGAUUAUAGUCCAAUGUUUCUUUAACAACCUUUAAACAACCUUUUAAAAGUAAAAGCAAGACCUUUUUUCAGUUGUGAAGCUUGCCAGACAGGAGCCUUUGAAAAGACCUCAACGAACUCAAUUAAAAUUAAUACAGGGGUGAGAAAUAUAUUUUCCAAGUCAGGUUAGGUAUUUUAUACUAGAUAUUCUAAUUGAAAAGAAGCAAGGGCUACAAUUUAGUGUUGUAGCAGUGGUGAUACUGAUUAAUAAUAGCUAGACCCUAGUGGUUCUCUGAUACCUUUGUGAUAGGAAAACUUGCUGAAAUAAAAGUUGUAAGUUGAAGUA